Molecule: ribosomal RNA, 460 nt
Filed under: uncultured bacterium
Lineage: Bacteria
Description: partial 16S ribosomal RNA
Rfam family: Bacterial small subunit ribosomal RNA
Source: RNAcentral
CCUACGGGUGGCAGCAGUGAGGAAUAUUGGACAAUGGGCGCGAGCCUGAUCCAGCCAAGUAGCGUGAAGGAUGACUGCCCUCCGGGUUGUAAACUUCUUUUGUAAAGGAAUAAAGUGCGGCACGUGUGCCUUUUUGUCUGUACUUUAUGAAUAAGGAUCGGCUAACUCCGUGCCAGCAGCCGCGGUAAUCCGGAGGAUCCGAGCGUUAUCCGGAUUUAUUGGGUUUAAAGGGAGCGUAGAUGGGUUGUUAAGUCAGUUGUGAAAGUUUGCGGCUCAACCGUAAAAGUGCAAUUGAUACUGGCAGUCUUGAGUACAGUUGAGGUAGGCGGAAUUCGUGGUGUAGCGGUGAAAUGCGUAGAUAUCACGAAGAACUCCGAUUGCGAAGGCAGCAUACUAAACUGCCACUGACAUUGAUGCUCGAAAGUGUGGGUAUCAAACAGGAUUAGAUACCCUGGUAGUC